UCUCUGGCAGUCCAGUGGUUAAAACUCUGCACUCCCAAUGCAGGCGACAUAGGUUUGAUCCCUGAUCAGGGAA
This 73-nucleotide transfer RNA is filed under the name Bos taurus (domestic cattle). It matches the Rfam family "tRNA". From Rfam's summary of the family: Transfer RNA (tRNA) molecules are approximately 80 nucleotides in length. Lineage: Eukaryota; Metazoa; Chordata; Mammalia; Artiodactyla; Bovidae. The record is from Rfam by way of RNAcentral. RNAcentral also lists the same sequence under 1 other name.